GUUUGACCCAUAGCAGUAACGAUUUAGAAGCAGGCCCUAGCAACAGCGCAUAUGACCCAGCCUGGUAAUCGCUCAUUGGUUUGUAGAGACGUUCUUUUGUCGCCGAUUGGAUAACGGAGAUGUAGUGGGCGCGGCUUUCCUCCUAGCAUUUGGUCACGGAACGCCAAGACGGAGAAGGAAGCUGUUGGUUUUUAGUGUGGUUGGUCGUCCAAGGGUGUAGUGUUUGUCUGCCUUCUCCGUCUUUACCACGUAUAUAAAGCGCCCCCCUCUGUGUGUAUUUAUACUAAGAACACUUGAACCGUGCUCGUAUUUACUAAUACGCCGUAAGUCAAAACUGAAACAUUGAAAGUAACAUUCUUGCCUGUGUUUGUUCCUAAUGCAGCAUUGUGGAUAAAAGAUACCACAGCAAGCCCUGCGUGAGUUAUAUAGGAUGUUUUAAUAUAUUCCACAUACCGAAAAUUAUGUGUCUCCUAGAUAUAUUAUUCACAACAAUCAAGCUUUAGGGAAACUAUCUUUACGCCUCCCUCAACUUGCUUUGUGGAGUAAGUUGACUGCGAAGGAGCUUGGGGUCUUGCUCAAGGAGCCGCAGAUGUGCUGAGGCUGAGUUCGAACCUGCGACCUUCUGAUUACAAGGACACAGGCUUAGCCCACUGAGCCUCACGCUCAAAACAGAACUGCUGUACAGUACACAAUACUGUCUACAGUAUUUGAAAUGAGUACAUGUAUGUGUCUUCUGGUUCAUCAUGGUCCAGGGGAAUGACUUCUUGUAUUAUUCUAUACUUAUGUAUGGCUGGCAUGACAAUAAAAUGCCACUUGAUUUGACUUGA
Molecule: long non-coding RNA, 827 nt
Organism: Brienomyrus brachyistius
Lineage: Eukaryota; Metazoa; Chordata; Actinopteri; Osteoglossiformes; Mormyridae
Exons: 2
Source: RefSeq, a predicted model, not a curated record